Molecule: ribosomal RNA, 468 nt
Filed under: uncultured bacterium
Lineage: Bacteria
Description: partial 16S ribosomal RNA
Rfam family: Bacterial small subunit ribosomal RNA
Source: RNAcentral
GACGAACGCUGGCGGCGUGCUUAACACAUGCAAGUCGAACGGAAAGGCCCUGCUUUUGUGGGGUUCUCGAGUGGCGAACGGGUGAGUAACACGUGAGUAACCUGCCCUUGACUUUGGUAUGACUUCAGGAAACUGGAGCUAAUACCGGAUCGGAGCUCCUGCUGCAUGGUGGGGGUUGGAAAGUUUCGGCGGUUGGGGAUGGACUCGCGGCUUAUCAGCUUGUUGGUGGGGUAGUGGCUUACCAAGGCUUUGACGGGUAGCCGGCCUGAGAGGGUGACCGGCCACAUUGGGACUGAGAUACGGCCCAGACUCCUACGGGAGGCAGCAGUGGGGAAUAUUGCACAAUGGGCGGAAGCCUGAUGCAGCAACGCCGCGUGCGGGAUGACGGCCUUCGGGUUGUAAACCGCUUUCGCCUGUGACGAAGCGUGAGUGACGGUAAUGGGUAAAGAAGCACCGGCUAACUACGUG